RNAcentral lists this ribosomal RNA (440 nucleotides) under uncultured bacterium. RNAcentral describes it as "partial 16S ribosomal RNA". It matches the Rfam family "Bacterial small subunit ribosomal RNA", at positions 338 to 795 of the family's 1533-position model. The record is from RNAcentral.
ACUACGGGUGGCUGCAGUGGGGGAUAUUGCACAAUGGGGGGAACCCUGAUGCAGCGACGCCGCGUGGGUGAAGAAGCGCCUCGGCGCGUAAAGCCCUGUCAGCAGGGAAGAAAAUGACGGUACCUGAAGAAGAAGCCCCGGCUAACUACGUGCCAGCAGCCGCGGUAAUACGUAGGGGGCAAGCGUUAUCCGGAUUUACUGGGUGUAAAGGGGGCGCAGACGGGGAUGCAAGCCAGGAGUGAAAGCCCGGGGCCCAACCCCGGGACUGCUCUUGGAACUGCGUGGCUGGAGUGCAGGAGGGGCAGGCGGAAUUCCGGGUGUAGCGGUGAAACGCGUAGAUAUCAGGAGGAACACCGGUGGCGAAGGCGGCCUGCUGGACUGCAACUGACGUUGAGGCCCGAAAGCGUGGGGAGCAAACAGGAUUAGAUACCCGAGUAGUC